RNAcentral lists this non-coding RNA (204 nucleotides) under Ruminococcus callidus. Its description in RNAcentral is "6S RNA". It matches the Rfam family "6S / SsrS RNA". From Rfam's summary of the family: E. coli 6S RNA was the first non coding RNA to be sequenced, but its function was unknown until recently. It consists of 184 nucleotides that fold into an extended hairpin structure with a large single-stranded internal bulge. RNAcentral also lists the same sequence under 3 other names. Lineage: Bacteria; Bacillati; Bacillota; Clostridia; Eubacteriales; Oscillospiraceae. The record is from RNAcentral.
GCAUUACUGCCCAGUGCGAGACAUUGCGGUUUUUAUAAUCCAACACUCCUUUAUAGGGAAUCUGACUCCGUCUGUGGAUUGCAGACCUCCUGCUUGCGGCAAUGACCGUAACGGACGAAGGGAGCGUGAAGCAGAAGGGAAGAUACCCACCUUGCUAGAUAUAGCUUGGUUUUAUUCGCUGCAAGACGGCUGGGUGGUUUUUUG